RNAcentral lists this non-coding RNA (178 nucleotides) under Peptoniphilus indolicus. RNAcentral's name for it is "T-box sequence". It matches the Rfam family "T-box leader". From Rfam's summary of the family: Uncharged tRNA acts as the effector for transcription antitermination of genes in the T-box leader family. T-boxes are found upstream of many aminoacyl-tRNA synthetase genes and some amino acid biosynthetic genes usually in Gram-positive bacteria. Lineage: Bacteria; Bacillati; Bacillota; Tissierellia; Tissierellales; Peptoniphilaceae. The record is from RNAcentral.
AAAUAAGCAAUGAAGAGACAGUUAUAAAUAGAGAGUUUCAAGAGAGCAUUCGGUUGGUGUGAGAAUGUAACUUGAGUUUAUAAGAUCAACUUGGAGCAAAUUGGUAAGUCUGCCUUAAAGACAAUUAAGUGAUAGGACCUAUAAUAAGGGUGGUACCGCGGCGUAAGUCGUCCCUUAG